RNAcentral lists this ribosomal RNA (468 nucleotides) under uncultured bacterium. RNAcentral's name for it is "partial 16S ribosomal RNA". It matches the Rfam family "Bacterial small subunit ribosomal RNA", at positions 28 to 507 of the family's 1533-position model. The record is from RNAcentral.
GACGAACGCUGGCGGCGUGCUUAACACAUGCAAGUCGAACGGAAAGGCCCAGCUGUUGGCUGGUGCUCGAGUGGCGAACGGGUGAGUAACACGUGAGUAACCUGCCCUUGACUUGGGGAUAACUACAGGAAACUGGGGCUAAUAACGGAUAGGAGCGCCGGCUGCAUGGUGGGGGUUGGAAAGUUUCGGCGGUUGGGGAUGGACUCGCGGCUUAUCAGCUCGUUGGGGGGGUAGUGGCUUACCAAGGCUUUGACGGGUAGCCGGCCUGAGAGGGUGACCGGGCACAUUGGGACUGAGAUACGGACCAGACUCCUACGGGAGGCAGCAGUGGGGAAUAUUGCACAAUGGGGGGAAGCCUGAUGCAGAAACGCCGCGUGCGGGAUGAAGGCCUUCGGGUUGUAAACCGAUUUCACCUGUGACGAAGCGUGAUUGACGUUAAUGGCUAAAGAAGCACCGGCUAACUCCGUG